CUAAGAAAGGAAUAAACGAGAGAUGCUUCUUCUAACAGUAAUUUCACUCACCUUUUAGGUUUAAAGUUUGUUGUGUGUCUUUCAGUAUGUUGAAGAGAUCGUUAGGAUUAGGAACUUGGUCCACAAAAUAGGAAAGAGUGAGGCUGUCACAGCAUGACCUAGUCAAGGUUAGGGUUACUUACUCUCUCUUCUUUCCAUUCAAAAGAAAGCUCUCUAACCAAAGUUUAGAUCAUGCUGGCAGCUUCACUUUUUCCUUUGUGAACUUUCAUCUUCAUCUCCAGCAAUAGUUAUGCAUCAACUUCACUCUCUCUAGGUUUAUAUGGUUUUUUUUUUGUGUGUCAAAAGAAGUAGAAAAUAAAUACCUAUUGUAGCACAAAGAAUGAAAAAGAGAAUAGAUUCAGGUAUCUAAACCUAACUCAAAGGAGAAAGAAAAAAGAGAAGGUGCAAGAAAGUCAUGUGCUUUCAUUUUAACACUAUUUGUAAGCAUAGAAAGAACUAGGAAGGCGAAGAAUCCAAUGGAAUGGAAAGGAAAAACCAAAGAAGAAAACAAGAAUAUUACUACAAACUAUGAUAAAGAAUCUAGAUUUGGAGAAUAUAUAUAUAUAUAGAAGCAAAGAAAGAAAGAAUGGGACAUAUGUAAUAAAGGAGGUAGAUACUAUAGUAAAGGAGGAAUCAUAAAGACAUAACCCAUCUUGUGAAACAGUGAAUUUAAAAGGAAAGGAUUUAACAUGCAGAGUUUGGAAGAAAAGGAAGAAAUUGAAUUCAAAAUAAAAACAGCUAAGAAUGCUAUAAAGGGAAUAGCAGAUGCAUGAUGAUUGAUCAAGAGGAGCGAGCUGUCUUAUAGCAAUAGGUUAGAGUAAGAGUAGUAUAGUAUAGGUCAGAUUUUAUAUUAUGCAGAGAGCUGCUAUUUAAGAGUCUUGUAGCUAGAGACUAGAGUAGAACACAGUGGGGGAUCCUUUCUCUCUUUUUCCCACCUAUUCAACCUAGAGUUGUGUUAUUUGAACAUACAUUUAUCUAAUAAUUUUUUGAGAUAAUCAAAAUUUUACAAAGAAAAUAAAGUAUUAGCACAAAAAUUAAAAUAAUAGAGAGAAAAA
This 1094-nucleotide long non-coding RNA is filed under the name Medicago truncatula (barrel medic). RNAcentral's name for it is "lncRNA gene42803". Lineage: Eukaryota; Viridiplantae; Streptophyta; Magnoliopsida; Fabales; Fabaceae. The record is from RNAcentral.